CGAACGGGUGAGUAAACGUGGGUGAUCUGCCCUGCACUUUGGGAUAAGCCUGGGAAACUGGGUCUAAUACCGAAUAGGACCACGCGCUUCAUGGUGUGUGGUGGAAAGCUUUNNNGGUGUGGGAUGGGCCCGCGGCCUAUCAGCUUGUUGGUGGGGUAAUGGCCUACCAAGGCGACGACGGGUAGCCGGCCUGAGAGGGUGACCGGCCACACUGGGACUGAGAUACGGCCCAGACUCCUACGGGAGGCAGCAGUGGGGAAUAUUGCACAAUGGGCGCAAGCCUGAUGCAGCGACGCCGCGUGAGGGAUGACGGCCUUCGGGUUGUAAACCUCUUUCAAUAGGGACGAAGCGCAAGUGACGGUACCUAUAGAAGAAGCACCGGCCAACUACGUGCCAGCAGCCGCGGUAAUACGUAGGGUGCGAGCGUUGUCCGGAAUUACUGGGCGUAAAGAGCUCGUAGGUGGUUUGUCGCGUUGUUCGUGAAAACUCACAGCUUAACUGUGGGCGUGCGGGCGAUACGGGCAGACUAGAGUACUGCAGGGGAGACUGGAAUUCCUGGUGUAGCGGUGGAAUGCGCAGAUAUCAGGAGGAACACCGGUGGCGAAGGCGGGUCUCUGGGCAGUAACUGACGCUGAGGAGCGAAAGCGUGGGGAGCGAACAGGAUUAGAUACCCUGGUAGUCCACGCCGUAAACGGUGGGUACUAGGUGUGGGUUCCUUCCUUGGGAUCCGUGCCGUAGCUAACGCAUUAAGUACCCCGCCUGGNGAGUACGGCCGCAAGGCUAAAACUCAAAGGAAUUGACGGGGGCCCGCA
Molecule: ribosomal RNA, 812 nt
Filed under: uncultured bacterium
Lineage: Bacteria
Description: bacterial SSU rRNA
Rfam family: Bacterial small subunit ribosomal RNA
Source: RNAcentral